CAGUAGACGGUCAUUUGGGGGGAAUAUGAAAUCUCAUCUUGGAGUGGGAGUUAUUUUUAGGGGAUAUGGAAAAAAUAAAAUAAAGGAUAACAUAUCGGUCAGUCCCAAGUAAUCUCUCUGCAUCUCUAACGAGCGUUUCUGUUCUGCAAGAUGAUGAUCAGUCUCACGUGCUCAGAGGGCAUCCGGACGCCUGCUCACAGACACAUAAGACUGAUCUGAAGGAGGGCCUGGGAAAGGGAGAAUGAUAAAUCAUAUAUAGUAUGCCGCACCAGAAUAUUCUGUCACACUUUACACUUGGAAGCAAGUAAACAAGACUGAGUAAUAACAGACAGACAGAAAGUUAAAAUACUAGAAAUGAGUUUUUGUUACAAAUGGGACUUCCCUUUUCAGUUUCUGGAUAUUGUCAGACCUUGCAAGGAAUAGACAAAUAAUGUAACAUAGGAAGCCUACAAAGCAGCUUUCAUCUGUGUCAGCCGUACAUUACAAUCAAUUCCGAGUAUGGAUAUCAUCUCUGCCCGCCAGCUGUGAUUAGCCGAUUCCUCAGGCAGCACACUCACAUUUACUCGCCCUGCAGAUAUGAAAUCAAUUCCGCUUUAGUGCAGCACUAAGCGAGUCACGUGACCCUAUCUAGUGACGGAGGGAAUUUCAGCGAAUUCUAUCAUUUGCAGUAAGGAGUGUGUUCCACAGGACAGUAUCUGACUCUUCGUUACGAACAUGAAAGAUCACAAGGGUAAAAUCUCAGGAAGAUGUAUUGUGGU
Molecule: long non-coding RNA, 758 nt
Organism: Pseudophryne corroboree (corroboree frog)
Lineage: Eukaryota; Metazoa; Chordata; Amphibia; Anura; Myobatrachidae
Exons: 7
Source: RefSeq, a predicted model, not a curated record